UACGUAGGGGGCGAGCGUUGUCCGGAUUCAUUGGGCGUAAAGCGCGCGUAGGCGGCUUCGUAAGUCGGCCGUGAAAUCUCCAGGCUUAACCUGGAGGGGUCGGGCGAGACUGCGGGGCUCGAGGUGGGCAGAGGGCAGUGGAAUUCCGGGUGUAGUGGUGGAAUGCGUAGAGAUCCGGAGGAACACCAGUGGCGAAGGCGGCUGCCUGGGCCUGGCCUGACGCUGAGGCGCGAAAGCGUGGGGAGCAAACAGG
RNAcentral lists this ribosomal RNA (253 nucleotides) under uncultured bacterium. RNAcentral's name for it is "partial 16S ribosomal RNA". It matches the Rfam family "Bacterial small subunit ribosomal RNA", at positions 524 to 776 of the family's 1533-position model. The record is from RNAcentral.